Non-coding RNA from Pelodiscus sinensis (Chinese soft-shelled turtle), 439 nucleotides. Lineage: Eukaryota; Metazoa; Chordata; Testudines; Trionychidae. The record is from RefSeq and is a predicted model, not a curated record.
UUCAGCAAUCUGUUGUCAUACUUACGAGGGGGAAAAGUGAAAAUCCCAACAGUAGUUGCUUUCAGAGAAGAGAGCAACAGAACAGAUAGGCCAAGCAUUUGAACAGGAGUAGCGAGUGACGAACAGAGGCAGACAUUCAUAUCUAUUUAUGACUGAUGGUCUGCUUAGAAGGGUAAUGAUAGUUUGCCAUCUGCUGAAAGAUCUUGUUCUUAUUCACUUGGCUACUCUUUUGUAUAUAGACAGUCUCAGCUUCCAGCAGAUAAGAAGGAAAUUUCAGUGAUGACUUCUGGCUCCUUGGUACAAAAUAGAAAGUUAAAAAGCCAGAAUGAACUGAUAUUGUACACAAACAGACUUGGGCCUUUGUAGAUCAAAAUAGCCAAUACAUUCCAGAGCUGAGAAGUUUCCACGAAAAAGGUGUUUCUGAAAAGGACAAAUGCUG